AUUCUCAAUAUUUCCCUACUCUUUUACUAAAAUACAAAAAUCCCUUAUUUUCCCCCAUUUCAACUUAACCGGAUACUUUAUUAGUUUAAGUAUCCGCCCAUUAUUAAUUAAAGUAUCCGCGCUGCUAUAUUAUGCAUCCGCCCGUUAAUUUAAGUAUCCGUGCUGCUAACAACUUAAUAAUUUAAGUAUCCGCCCGUUAUUAAUUAAAGUAUCCGCGCUGCUAUAUUAAGUAUCCAC
RNAcentral lists this long non-coding RNA (237 nucleotides) under Solanum tuberosum (potato). Its description in RNAcentral is "long non-coding RNA (STUB_LNC001174)". Lineage: Eukaryota; Viridiplantae; Streptophyta; Magnoliopsida; Solanales; Solanaceae. The record is from RNAcentral.